This 5180-nucleotide unclassified non-coding RNA is filed under the name Hevea brasiliensis (rubber tree). The record is from RNAcentral. Lineage: Eukaryota; Viridiplantae; Streptophyta; Magnoliopsida; Malpighiales; Euphorbiaceae.
UUGCUAAAGAAAACUAAAGACCCAAAAAAGGGUAUUUGAAACUAAGCCAUCAAUUUGCCAAAUGAAACAUGUCCAGAUUUGGACGUUUAUUAUACAGUAUUUUAUAUAUAUGCAAAUGUUACAUUGUGUUCAGGUUCUAAACAGUGGGAAAAAAGACAUGUAUAAUAGCCUGUGCCUAUCAGUAGGUACACUAGCAAGAAACCUGCCAUUUUCCCACAAAAAAUUUGAGCAUGUAAAAGUAAAACUAUGUUUGGUAAUUAAUAUAUUAUAGCAAUAAGCGUGAGUUUCAAGUACCCAUUAAAGGUCAUUGUAUGCAUGUUGAACAAAAUUGAUGACAAUUGCAUUAUUUCUGUGUGCUCUGACUGUCAGAAGUUAAAAUUUGACCUCAAUGGAGCCUGAACAAACCAUUUAUCAAUCUGAUACCAUUGCCUGCAUCAGGAGAAAGAAAAAGAAAUUUCAUAUCACACGUUAAAAAGGAAAAUGACACAAAAGCAUUUCAAGUACAAUUAACACCAGUCAAUGUAAAAUUCACUUGGUUUUACUUAAGGGCUGCAUAUAAUUAUUAGAUUAGAAAUUCUUAUACAAUUUAAUAGUAAAGCACAAAAGACAAUCCAAAUGAGCUCAAACAUGAAGAUUUAAACAGUGUAAACGUUAGGUAGGGUCAGACUCGUCAUAGUUGAACAAUUUUUGCUAACAUUUCAAAGUCCAAGUACCCAGAAUCUUAACUUCCAAAGAAACCGAUAUAUGUACUACAUUAGACCAGGUAAAUUCUACCCAUCUUUAAUCAGAAGCAACCAACACUACAGAAUGCUUGUGCAAUUAGAAAACAAAAUUGAUGUUCUAGUUUGACUUUUCUUUUUGCCAAAUUCACUAAAAUUUCCAUGUUUCUUGCCUGAGCAAGUAACUGAAUAUUAAUUUGUGGUUUUUUGACCUUUGAACGGUCUAAUUUGCAAGAUUGAAAAACUUAAUUUCAUCCAAAUUCUAGUUAGUCACAAACUUCAUAGUUGUGAAUAUCUGUCUACUUACUAGUUCAAAUAUUAUAAAACACAGGCUACAUAUUGGGAUGUUGCUCAAAUUAAAAGGAAGGCAGUGAAGUCAUAAUAAAGGAAGCCUGGGAAGCAUAGUCAGAAAAUGAAGUGCAAAUAUGACUAAAUGUAGUUCAUUGCAAAUGAAAUGUAAAUAUGAUGCAAUUAUGAGAUCUAAGUAUUAGACAAUAAUAUAAUACCAGCACUAUUCUGCAGCAGAUGUUCCCCUUGGUUUAUUCUUUCCCCUCCCUUUUCGUCUUUAACAUUUUUUUUUUUAUUUCUAUCAAAGCAUAACUCCUGCUUUUUUUCCCCCAUCAAAAGGAGGAUUGGAAUACAGGUUUUGUACAGAAUGCAAGGUGAGUCCAGUUUCAAGUAGUCUGGUUGGUCUUAGUGCAUGCAGGAUUAUCUAACCUCUCAGCAAAUAGAUUAUCUUCACAUUGGGCAACUAACUACAAUGGAUAAUGCUCAAAGCAAACCUAGCCAGGUUACUCUAGCUCUAAAAGAAAUAAUGUAGAACCAUAUAAGGGCUUCAAUGUUGUGGAAAAGAAUAAUCCAUACAGAAGCCCCUAAAAUUUAAUAGAAAAAAAAAAUCUAUGAAGUCCUCCAACUUUUAGUUUAACCUCGAAUUUUUUCUAAUCUAUUAACUUCUCCAAAAUCAGCUCUUGGGUGCUAAUUUGUUUUUCUUUUAAUUUUGUUAUUUUGAAGUUUUUUAAGUUUCGAUUAUGACGCUGACAAGGCAUGAUGAUAUGCAUUGCCAUAUAGCCUUUUUAAACAUAUGAAAGGAUAACUUAGUUUCAAUAAAUACAAAAAUUAAAAUUAAAGGUUCAAUAAAAAUAAAAGUUAGAAGGGCUUCGAUAUGAGUUAUUCCCCGUAGAAAAUCUAAAAUACAUUCAUGGAUGUCUUGAAGGAAAUAUAGUUCAUAUCAGUGACUAAAAUGAAGCGAAUGUCCCAAAAGUUAGUGCCACAAUGGAGGCCUUGCAAUCAAAUCCCAUCUUUAGUCAGGGAAUUAUUUUUAUUUUCCUUUGCUGUUUAUACUUCAAGCUUAAUAAAUGUUCAACAAUCCUGUAAGGAUCCUUUUAGACCAUGGGAAUAGAUAGACUGGAAAUUUACAACUGCUUUUAGAUGGUCAACAUUAGGAUUGAAAAUUAGAGAACUAGCAAGACCUCCAAUAUAUGAUAAGUUAACAUCACAAUAAAAAUUGAUACUGAAGAGAGAACUUAGGUUUCAGGUAGUGUAAUUCAUUUCUUUCUUUCAGUCCCACGGUAUAAUUUGCUGCAUCCUUGCUUGUAUCCUAUACUAAAGACAGUUAUCUCCUUGUCCUAAUAAGCCAUUCCCUUGAGAUAUAUCUGAAUCUGACAGAUAGUAGGAGCAUUGUGAGAUGCAAAAUCUGAUAUAAAUCUUACUUAUAAAUGCAUCUAGGCAUUGGCCAAUUGCUGAGCAUCAGACCAUAACAUCAGAGUUGCCAAAAGAGCCAUUGUUGCAGUUUCAACACGCAGACGAAGUGGACCAAGACCAACAGCUGUAGCACCUGCUUCCAUCAUCACGGCCAACUCUCUCUCUGUGAAGUCUCCUUCUGGUCCCACUAUUAUUAAUCCACUUGAUUCUUUUCUCGAUGAAGCCAAUACACUAACAACAGGAGUAGCUUCUGCUGCUGCCAGAAAGGAUAGCUUUGACUGGGCAAGCUAUAUGACAAGAAACAAGGAUUUUUACUUCAACAAAUUAUAAACAAGUGAAUAUUAAAACACUGAUUUGCACAUUCAUGGGAACAGUACAUAUUAUAGCAUUCCUUAAUGUUUUGGCAAACAAAAAUUGUUGAUGGUGUACAUAUUCCAUGGUUAAGAGUAAAGACCUGACAUCAGCCUGGAGAACAGCAGACCUGACCCAACCAAACUGCAAGACCCAGGCUUGGGCAACAUAUUUUUACUUGAGGCCUUGAGCCUAACCCAGCCUGACCUAUCCAUACAUGAGUAAGUUUGUUGUGUGAGGUACUCUCUUCCUCUUUCUUUAUCACUACCACUGCAAAAGACCUACGGUACUAUUUGCCACAUGGUUCACAGCAAUCAAUACAUAACCAAAACUUAUCCCUACCUAAAAUUCUAGCCAUCAACACACCAUCCAAAACCGUAGAACCCUUCACAUUUGUUUAGAAAUUUCUCUUUGUUAGCUAUUCAACAGAAUGCUUAAAAACCCUGGAUUUUCCUGCUGCCAAAAGAUCCUACAAACAGAACCAGUUAUUCCAGCCAGAAAAUGGCAGGUUUUUGCCCUGAACAUCAAUGAAAAUAAGCCCCAACAGGAUGAAUACCUGUCCUUGAACUAUAAGCCCCUUAAAUCUCUAAUUUAACACACCACAAGCUCAUAAGAUAGGUCUAAUAAACCUUUUGUGCUUCAACUAAGAUAAUAGCAAAUCUUUUAAGUAUAAAAAGAAGGGAAGAACAACUCACUAGAGGUAAGAGUCCAUCAAUUUUUGUAGGAGGAUUUAGAAUCAUUUCAUGCAGCCUUUGACCUAGUAUAGAGGUAUGCAUGAAAGAAAUGAAAAGAAGAUGAAGCCGAAGCUGAAUGAACACUUUUAGAUUAAAGAGCCAUAUAUGAACUGAAGUGCGUUAAAUACUCAGAAAUUUAAGAAGAUGAUAAUAAGUUGUGCAUGGAGAAAUUCACUAUAUCAAUUUUUUACAUUGUUUAGUUGCUGCUAGAAUGACGCGUUGCAAUCUGUCCACUCGGUUUUCUGAGAUUGAUGGAGAGUUUUCCGUCAACAGAGGGGUCACGCUACAAGCUCCCAACUCAGUGCAUUUCUCAACAAGCCAGUCAGCUCGACCACCUUUUAGAGUACCAAAUGCUGCAAAUACAUGCCACUUUGUAGUAUCAGGAGUAACUAACUUUGGAUCUCCUAAUGCCAGAAAAUCAAGUCCAGUACGGUCAAUCCUCUGAAUGCACCCUUCUACCAGACCUCCUUUCCCAUUGAAGAGCUCUACCCUAUCGUUCGUGCUCAACCUUAAAACUUUAGUCAUAUGCCAGAAUUCAUCAUCUUGUAUACGAACAACACCACCUUUGGAAGAAGGAAGAACUUCGGAGAAGAAACGAGGGAGGCUGUCACGGGACUGGUUCAAGUAAUCUGAUGAAGAAGAGAAUGCAAGGAGGCUCAAAGGUUUAAGCGACUGACGACUCAAGAACUCAGCAAAACAAGGCCGCUUUGGUAGUAGGAUUUGCAUUUGCAUUUCCCAGAAACCCAGCACAAAAAUUUCACCCACUUGCAUUGUCUUCCGGGUCCAUCCAGGGACAGCUACCACCUGCUCUGUGGGUUUGGGUUUAAAGGUCUACGUGUCUUUUCGUUAACACGACAUGUCGUGUAGUGCAGUUUUAAGUAUCUGCUCCGUAUGUAAGCGGUAAAUUACUUGAUGAGCAAAUGCACUGUUUUAGGUGCAUGAUGAUGUGCUGAAUCUACUGAUGUAAUUACAACAAACACAAUUACAAGCUGAAUUGGUACUCUAAAUACAAUUUAUAGAUUUCAUUUGAUUUCGUUCUUUCAUCAUUCAUACAGCCAAAAAGAACCAAAACAUAGUAUUUGCUAGUUUGCAAUACCAUAUGAUCCCCCCAUAUUCACUAGUGAUCACUACAAGGAAGGGAUCCUUACAUUAUAUAUAAGCCCAAAACCCACAGAAUCUACUCUUCUCCUUCAUUAUCAUCAUCAUCAACUUUCCCAUCUCCUUCAAACCCACCUCCCAAUUCACAUAUUAUCUCCCAAACCUCCUUCGAAAUAGGCACAACAGACAACCUAGGCUGCCUAAACAAAGCAAGACCCUUCAACCCUUCAUUGCUCUUCAGUUCCUUCAAGUCCACUGGCCUCCUCAUCUCUCCAACUGCCUUAACAUCCACCACAACCUCAUCAUCGGCAGUCUUAUAACACUCCUUCACUACAGACACUACACCAACAACGCGACGAGCACUGGCACCAGAGUGGUAGAAGAAGCAGAGGUCAUCAAGGCGCAUGGCCCUAAGGUUUUUCUGGGCUUGCUUGUUUUUGACGCCAUCCCAGUUGGUUAUGCCUCCAUUGGACGCUUGGUCAUCCCAUGACCACUCCCCUGGCUCGGUUUUGAGAAGCCAGUACUGAUUUUGGUUAUCCAUUUGCUUCUUUUUCUUACAGGAAGGGUUGCUUUGCCU